UUCAUCACUGCCCUGACUGUCCUGGUUGC
RNAcentral lists this non-coding RNA (29 nucleotides) under Homo sapiens (human). Lineage: Eukaryota; Metazoa; Chordata; Mammalia; Primates; Hominidae. The record is from RNAcentral.